CAGUCGUGAGGAAGGUGGUGUCGUUAAUAGCMGCAUUAKUUGACGUUAGCGACAGAAGAAGCACCGGCUAACUCCGUGCCAGCAGCCGCGGUAAUACGGAGGGUGCGAGCGUUAAUCGGAAUUACUGGGCGUAAAGCGCAUGCAGGYGGUUUGUUAAGUCAGAUGUGAAAGCCCGGGGCUCAACCUCGGAAUAGCAUUUGAAACUGGCAGACUAGAGUACUGUAGAGGGGGGUAGAAUUUCAGGUGUAGCGGUGAAAUGCGUAGAGAUCUGAAGGAAUACCGGUGGCGAAGGCGGCCCCCUGGACAGAUACUGACACUCAGAUGCGAAAGCGUGGGGAGCAAACAGGAUUAGAUACCCUGGUAGUCCACGCCGUAAACGAUGUCUACUUGGAGGUUGUGGCCUUGAGCCGUGGCUUUCGGAGCUAACGCGUUAAGUAGACCGCCUGGGGAGGACGAUCUCAA
Molecule: ribosomal RNA, 462 nt
Filed under: Vibrio alginolyticus
Lineage: Bacteria; Pseudomonadati; Pseudomonadota; Gammaproteobacteria; Vibrionales; Vibrionaceae
Description: bacterial SSU rRNA
Rfam family: Bacterial small subunit ribosomal RNA
Source: RNAcentral